This 1048-nucleotide long non-coding RNA is filed under the name Homo sapiens (human). Its description in RNAcentral is "HSALNT0333986". Lineage: Eukaryota; Metazoa; Chordata; Mammalia; Primates; Hominidae. The record is from RNAcentral.
ACAGGUGUCUGCCACUACAUCUGGCCAGCUUAAGUACAACAUUUAUUAACCAGUAUUGUGUUCUUGAGUGAUUGUUUUUUUCCUCCCUCUCCACUUUAUUUCUUCCAGCUUCAUCCUGGUUGCCUGUUAGAAUCACCUGGGGAGCUUUUAAAAUCCCAGUGAUCAAGUGCCCCUCAGACCUCUUAGCCGAGGAAUUCUGGGGGCGGGGCCCAGCAUCAGUGUUUUUUCAAGCCCUUCCAGGUGACUUCAAUGCACAGGCAGCGAGAACUCCUGCAUGAAGGCUUCUGGAGAAGUAGGAAGGCUUAGAAUGUCGCUCACUCAUCUUUCACUUCCUGUAGCAACUGUUUCGUGCUCUUAAGUCUGGUGCGUCCAUGUCUGUCUGCACCUGGAUGGCAUCGCCUCUCCAUCUCGAGGACGCCAUCUGGAGGGGGCAGGGCAGGGUGGCUGAUCCCCUGCAGGCCCCAGCCCUGUGACUCAGCCACCAAAGCCCAAUCUCCAGCCCAAGGGAACCAAGGGUAUCUUCUUCAUCAUCCUUCCAGUCCUCUUCCCCUUCGCCGGGCUCCAGCCUCAGCUUGGCCCUCACCUCCACUCCUCUCCCCUCUCACCCCUGCCCCCAUUCCACUUCAUCUCCCUCCCUCACCUUAGGGCACCUCUGCCUGCUCCUUAUGCUGGAGUUGAUUUUCUACAAUCUCAACUCAGCCAAGAGAUCUCAUCACCUAAAAAAGUGAUGUGAACCUUAAGAUCACAUAUGUCAUAUGGGGGUGAAGGUGGGGGUGGGAGGCACUAAGGGCAGGGCAGCAGGUGGGUCAGCCCCAGGUGCUGGCAAUAGAUGGGGGUCCAGGUCAGCAGAGAACCUAAAAACAAUAAAGCAACUGAUUAGCCCGUCUCUUUAUUGUAAAACCCUGUGCUGGCAAUCCUAAACAAUGUUGGUGAUAAAAUGUUCCUCUCUCAAAAUCUUUUAGUUAGGAUCUAAGUUUUAUAUAAUUGCUUAGGUCAUUGUUGAGAGUUUCUUUCUUUCUUUCUUUCUUUCUUUCUUUCUUCCUUCUCU